UGAAUACGAGACGCUACGGCGUCGAAGCAGUCUAUGUCAUACUUCCAAGAAAAGCUUGCACUGUCAUAAACAAAUAAUGCCUGUACCAUAACCGACACAGGUGGGUAGGUAGAGUAUACUAAGGGGCGCGAGAUAACUCUCUCUAAGGAACUCGGCAAAAUGACUCCGUAACUUCGGGAGAAGGAGUGCCUUAUUCGUAAGGUUGCAAUAACAAGAUCCAAGCAACUGUUUAUCAAAAACACAGGUCUCCGCUAAGUCGUAAGACGAUGUAUGGGGGCUGACGCCUGCCCAGUGCCAGAAGGUUAAAGAAGUUGGUUAGCAUUCGCGAAGCUGAUAACUGAAGCCCUGGUGAACGGCGGCCGUAACAAUAACGGUCCUAAGGUAGCGAAAUUCCUUGUCGGGUAAGUUCCGACCCGCACGAAAGGCGUAAUGAUUUGGAUACUGUCUCGGAGAGAGGCUCGGUGAAAUAGACUUGUCUGUGAAGAUGCGGACUACCUGCACCUGGACAGAAAGACCCUAUGAAGCUUUACUGUAACUUGAAAUUGAAAUUGGACUUUAUUUGCGCAGUAUAGGUGGGAGGCGUUGAGAAUAUUCUUGCGGGAAUAUUGGAGCCAUCAGUGAGAUACCACUCUUGUAAUGUUAGAUUUCUAACUUUGGAUCAUUAUCUGGUCAAAGGACAGUUUCAGGCGGGCGGUUUGACUGGGGCGGUCGCCUCCCAAACGGUAACGGAGGCGUACAAAGGUUUCCUCUGAACGGGUAGAAAUCGUAUCUAGAGUGUAAAGGCAUAAGGAAGCUUGACUGUGAGACCUACAAGUCGAGCAGGGACGAAAGUCGGUCUUAGUGAUCUGACGGUGCUGAGUGGAAAGGCCGUCACUCAACGGAUAAAAGUUACUCUAAGGAUAACAGGCUGAUCUCCCCCAAGAGUUCACAUCGACGGGGAGGUUUGGCACCUCGAUGUCGGCUCAUCGCAUCCUGGGGCGGUAGUACGUCCCAAGGGUUGGGCUGUUCGCCCAUGAAAGCGGUACGCGAGCUGGGUUCAGAACGUCGUGAGACAGUUCGGUCCAUAUCCGGUGUAGGCGUUAGAAUAUUGAGAGGAGCCUUCUUUAGUACGAGAGGACCGAGAAGGACAUACCUCUGGUGUACCAGUUAUCGUGCCAACGGUAAACGCUGGGUAGCUAUGUAUGGAGAGGAUAACCGCUGAAAGCAUCUAAGUGGGAAGCCCACCUCAAGAUAAGUAUUCUC
Molecule: ribosomal RNA, 1242 nt
Filed under: metagenome
Description: bacterial LSU rRNA
Rfam family: Bacterial large subunit ribosomal RNA
Source: RNAcentral